CCCUCCCCCAACCCUCCAUCCCCGAGAUCCCUGCUGUACCCUCGGAGGUUGGUGUCAAAAAAGGCGCUGGCCCAGCGAGGACGGAACACCCUGAUCAGAGCGGCCAGGGACACGUGCCACCCCCACGCUGCACAAGGGGCUUUCCGAAGGCUGCGCGUAGACCCCGGGUUCUCCCCUAGUAAGAAGCAGAUUAUUUCAAAGUAUCUGAAGGCAGGAGUUGGGGGAGGGGACGGGGAGCCAGAAGCCUGCGGGUGAGGCUCCGCCCCAUCUGGCCUUGCCCUCCAGGGGAGGCCUGCCAGGGUCCACACCUCACCAAAAUGCUCGCCUAUGGGAACCCAAAGGACAAUGGCAGGAGGGAGCAGAUCUCCAAGGCCAGAAUGUUGGCACGACUGUGCUUCAGAGUCCAAUGAGUGCAUCCCUCUGCCUCUGGCCGCCGAUGCCAGGCCUAGACACCUCCAGAGGAGAUGGGAAACAGCUGGGCACCACCCUUCAAGUAAUAAUUACCUUCUCGGAACUCGAAGACAAUCCAGUUGCUCCUUGGCCUUCUCUUUCUCGGCUUAAAUCAUCCAUCCCAGCCCUUUAAUCAUCCCUGAUCCUUUGAUCACUUCUGAUGACUGUGUCCAGAUUGGGGCCCCGGGACUUUAACAAGGCCUGAUCCCAAUUGGAUGGGGGAGGUCUCCCCCCCAACCCCCUUUCCCAGGGCAUGAGCAGUCAGGGGUGGGGUCUGGACAGACAAUCCUGGCUGGGGCUCUGGGCAGAUAAAACAGCAGCAGCAGCAUAGAGAAGAAAAUGAGCUUAAAUUUGGUGAGAGAAAAAGAACCGCGAAGCCUCCAAAUUCUGUGAUGGUAACGCUCUCCCAAGGCCAUGGGCGAGGGCGAGACCGUUUGUAGGCCUGGCCUAAGGGGAAGGUAUAAUUUGGGGAACAUCAGAGGGGCCACCUACCUCGCAGGUCCACCAUGAGACAUGUAAUGGAGUGAAUGGUGAGCCCUCAAAAGAUAAGUCCAUUCCAAACCUUGGAAUGAGAACUGGCUUGGUGUAAGGAUCUCUGCAGAUGUAAUGAAGCUGAAGGUCUUCAGCUUCAUGGUAAAGAACCCUCGUGCCAAUACAGGAGACAGAAGAGGUGCGGGUUUGAUCCCUGGGUGGGGAAGAUCCCCUGGAGGAAGACAUGGCAACCCACUCCAGUAUUCUUGCCUGGGAGAUCCCAUGGACAGAGGAGCCUGAUGGACUACAUACAAUCCAUGGGUCACAAAGAGUCAGAUAUACCUGAAGCAACUUAGCAUGCACACACACAAGGGCCUUGAGAUAAAAUCACCCUGAGUUAGAGUGGGCCCUGAACGCAACAGCCAGUGUCCAAAAAGAAGAUGCGGAGGCCCAGAGAAAAGGCCCACAUGAAGUCAGAGGCAGGGAUGGGAGUGAUGCAGCCACAAAGCAAGUAACAGUUGGGACCCUGGAAGCUGGAAGCCACAAGGUAAGACUUCCCCAGAGCCUUCAGAGAGAGCUUGCUCUGGGGCCUCCUUGCUGGUCCAGCAGCUAAGAAUCUGCCUGCCAAUGCAGGGGACACCAGUUCAAUUCCUGGUCCGGGAAGAUCCCACCUAACACGGGCCAGCUAAGCCCCUGUACCGUAACUACUGAGCCCUCGCCCUAGAGCUGAGAGCUGCAGCCACUGAAGCCCACAUGCCCUAGAGCCUGUGCCUAGAAGCCACUGCAAUGAGAAGCCUGCGCACGGCAACUAGAGAGCAGCCCCCACUCACCGCAGCUAGAGAGAGCCAGUGUCAGCAACAAACAUCCAGUGAGCUAAUAAAUAAAUAUAUAUAUUUUAAAAAAAAAGAACGCUUGCUAUGCUGACACCUUGAUUUCAGACUUCUCAUCUCCAAUUGUGAGAGAAUAAAU
Bubalus bubalis (water buffalo) is the source of this 1890-nucleotide long non-coding RNA. RefSeq lists it as uncharacterized. The record is from RefSeq and is a predicted model, not a curated record. The transcript has 3 exons. NCBI's taxonomy places the organism in Eukaryota, Metazoa, Chordata, Mammalia, Artiodactyla, Bovidae.